RNA transcript from Ailuropoda melanoleuca (giant panda), 4841 nucleotides. It is a transcript of the gene named serum response factor binding protein 1, with no coding region annotated. The transcript has 13 exons. NCBI's taxonomy places the organism in Eukaryota, Metazoa, Chordata, Mammalia, Carnivora, Ursidae. The record is from RefSeq and is a predicted model, not a curated record.
AUCUCCCUAUUGCUCGAGCAUCGGCUUGAACGGACGUUGGGUGAAUUUUGGGCUGCAAAGGCUGCCGUAGAGGGGCGUGGCGACGGAGCCGCGAUUUUGUUCCCACAGUUCACGUGCCGGCAGCAGCGGAUCUUCUCAGACCUACCAUGGCUCAGCCGGGGGCUCUAAACCUCAAUAACGAGGUUGUGAAGAUGAGAAAAGAAGUGAAGAGAAUCCGAGUGCUGGUUAUCCGAAAACUUGUCAGGAGUGUUGGCAGACUGAAGUCAAAAAAGGGUACUGAAGAUGCACUGUUAAAAAACCAGAGACGGGCACAGCGAUUGCUUGAAGAAAUUCAUGCUAUGAAGGAAUUAAAACCUGAUAUAGUAACUAAAUCUGCUCUUGGUGAUGAUAUCAACUUUGAAAAAAUCUGCAAAAAGCCUGAUUCUACUGCAACCGAAAGAGCGGUUGCCAGACUAGCGAUGCAUCCUCUUCUGAAGAAAAAAAUAGAUGUGCUAAAAGCUGCUGUCAAAGCCUUUAAAGAUGCAAGACAGAAUGUUGUUGAAGUUAAAUCAUCAGAGAAUGCUUCAGAAGAAAAUCAUUCCAAGGACACUUUGUGUUCAAAUGAUGAUGCCAGUAAGUUACAGCAUGAAGGAACUAUUAUCAGUGAACAAAAAGAGAAAGAAGCCAAAAUAUUGGCAAAGAAACCAAUAAAUUCAAAAGAAAAAAGAACCAAGAUGGAACAUGGACCCAGUGCUGUAGAUGUUCCAAAUUCUCCAUCAAAGCCUUCUGAAAGGGCUGAUGUAGUUUCUUCUGAGCCCCAGAAGACACCUGCUGACCCAAAAAUGAAAACCUUAAGUAAAACUAAAAAAGGGAAAGAGUCCAGUAGCUCCCUUGAUUCUAACAGUGAUGGAGAAGAAUUACAAGAAGAAGAAAAGGAGUAUUUCGAUGAUAGCACGGAAGAAAGGUUUUACAAACAGUCCUCCAUGUCUGAAGAUAGUGACAGUGGUGAUGACUUCUUCAUUGGGAAAGUCAGACGGACACGAAAGAAGGAAAGCAGUUGCCAUUCUUCAGUUAAGGAACAAAAGCCCCCCCAAAAAAUGUUACUUGAGGAAGAUACGCUUGAAACCCAUCAGAGUAUAAGAAAUGCCAUAAACAAGCCAAAUACAGAAUCAAGGAAGUUUGAGUCAGUGUUUUUCCAUUCUUUAUCUGGAUCUAAAAGCUCUAGAAGAAAUUACAGAGAACAGGCUCCAAAAAGCAAAACCCCAGGUUUUCAGCAAAAUGAACCUCAGCUCAAGAAUCUGUUUAAUAAGAGCGCACAAAGAGGACUUGAAAGUACAAAACAGCAGUCACAGCUGCCUCUUCAUCCUUCGUGGGAAGCAAGCAGGAGGCGAAAAGAACAGCAAUCUAAAAUUGCUGUGUUUCAGGGGAAAAAAAUUACAUUUGAUGAUUAAUUAGUACCUCUUUUUGUGAACCAGCCCGUUAUUAAAGUUAUGUUUACAUCCAUGAUAGUUUUGAAAACCAACAGCCACAAUCACAGUGAAAACCGGAAGCCUGGCAGCCACCAGGAGAAGCAGAACAAGGCUGGAGCUUCUUCAACAGUAUAUGCACUGAGAAUUGUCAUUAUUUGACCAAUGUGGUAGUUCACUGGAAGACCCCACUUAACUGAGAACUUGCUCAUUGUGAAAGUCUUUUUCCUGAUACCACUUUUCAAAAACAGAGCAGGAUGUUGACAUCCUGGGCUCCCUUGCAAGAUAGCUUUUGAAGAUGAAGUUUCUGCCAGCCAGGGUCCUUGCAUGAUUGCAUGGAGCAGAUCCCCUCAACCCAGCCCUGCACCUGUUGAGCUUUACAUGAGCAACAAGUUGACCCUUCUUUUUACAACUCCAGUGUGAGUGUUUGGAUAAGAAAGAACUAAAGUCUUCUCACUGAAAAGAAUGAGCUUCCUUUCUGAAAUGCCCUAAGACUUCAUGACACACAGAAGGUGGGGUGAGAGUGAGCAGGCUGUUUAGACCUGCCAGUAGGGAAGGUGGGUAGUGUUGAAAGGGAGAGCAGGAUGGGAUUACUUCCUUCUGGAGUAAAAAUCAGCCCUCAGGUGCUGAUAAUAAGGGAUUUUCUUCACAGAAAUCAGUUGAAUGAGUAGCUGGAAGGAAAGGUCAUGAGUUGUACUAUAGAGAUGUUGAUUUUGUUAAUCUUUUUGUUAGACAUAAAUAGGGUGGCUUGUUGGCUCCCAGUAAUCUUCUCAUUGACAAUACCCAUAAUAAUUCACCCCCUACCUCUGGAGUAAUCAUUUUCUUUUCCUUCACUUUCCUUUCACACCCACACAUAAAGCCAAAAUGCAGUCACGUGUUUGGGUGGGAGCAGCCAUUCUCUUACUUGACCAUGUAACCUUGACUUUGGUGAUUGAAUAAGAACGAGCACUUGACUCAAUCUGGACCCGUCAUAAUAUCCACAUUAACUGGGUCUGGGUUUGGCACAUGACGGAGUCUGAGCCUAUGAAAUGCUGUCCUCUGGAUUUUCAAAUUUGAGCUAUAGAUGAAUACUAUUUCCUUUCUGAUCAACAAGCCAGGUAGAUAUGCGCCCAAACGUGUUAUCUGUAAGCAACACGGUUUCCAUCCUCAUGGAGAAACUAAACCAAGAGAAUGAUGUUGACACAAAUAAACAGAGAAAAGGAGGUAAGAAUGUGGCCUUGAUGGUGUUUGAUUUCCUGAUAACAUCUGCUCCUUAGGCAAACCCUAACUUUGUCUUUCCUCUUUUUGGUUGCAUGAGUCUGUGAAUUCUUUUUUAGACUAAGCAAGUUUAAGAUAUAUUUCUGUUACCAGAAACCAUAGAGCCCUAAAACAAAAAUGAAGUGAUCACAACUACAGAUUGUUGAUACAUCCAUGAAUGUUAGCUGCAGCAGCAACCCAACUAUAGAUUGUUAGAAAAGUUUUUUUUUCCUAAUACCAUCCCUCUAAAAAAAGUUAUGUCAUUGUAAUAACUGAAAAUAGUUGACUCUGAUGUUUGCUGUCUAACAGUGGUAUAAUUCGCCUGUUUGCAAGUGACUCGCUGUAAUAUUGGUAACAUUGGCACCACAUUUGUCUGGCUCCAGAUUUCUGUGUUGGUUCAAUAAAGGCUGCAUCUGUCCCUAGAGCUAUGAUGACACUUGUCAAGCACAGGCUCACCUCCUUUACGGAAGAAUGAAAAGGCUCCCUGCAAGGUGAAUGCAGCCCGAGCCACAGUGCGUGGCCGUGUCCAUGGAACCCAGCUGCUCUGUGGAAGCCUCACACUUGCCCCGGCCAGGAGCCCAGUGGUGGGGAAGAAUCUGCACAGCUAGGUUGAGGUGAGUUUGGGAAAUCCCACAGACGACAGAUUUACAUGUGGCCAACCCCUUCCCUGGUGUGUGUAUCCAGGAGAAAUGUGUAUUAAGAGCAAGUUGCUGGUGUAGCUCUGUGACAAGUCUCCAUGUGACCCUGGAGGCAGUGGUGCCUCUCCCACGUUGACGCAUGUUCAGCAUCAUUCCCAUAGUGUUUUUAUAGUUGGGAUCAGUCGAAGGUAGCACAGGGGGUAGGCUCGCCAACCCACCAACACUAGAGCAGGCCGGGCUUACAGGACGGAGAAGGACAGAGACAAGCCAAUCUAACCCCCUGAUUUUGCUCCGGUGACUCUCAUCACAGCAUCACCCCUUUGAUAUUCAUGUGCUGGGAUUCCCUCUUAGAUUUCAUUCAAGGAAGGGUUUGGGGGCUAGGCAAAUGAUGGCGGAACCUCCACACACCCCUCCUUUUUCUAGGGUAUUUUUCUAGUCCUUGUGGUUUUAGAACUCAAAUUCGUAAUAUCUUGGUUUCUACAGAACAGGCGGUCUGACCUCUUCCAUGGAGUACUUUAAGGCAAUGAUUUUCAAAAUGCACUUUAAAGAACUCUAGGAAUUUCUUCAGAGCUGCUUCACGGACUCUGGCGAAGAGACAGGAAAUCCAACUGUUUGGGAUCCCUCAAGGUCAUCCACAUGGCAUAUGGCAUGUUUUACAUACUCAGCCACCACACGGGCUUUUCGGGGAAGGGUGCUGAGCUGUGUAUCUUCUCACAUAAGGAAAGAACAAGAAAAAACUGCUCAAAUUGCCGAAGGUUUCAGGGCAUCCAGCAGGAUUUCCCGGCAUUACCAAGAUUCUUGGGCAAGUUACCAAGGCAAAUUAUAGAAUCAUCUUAUACAAAGAUCUUUAAAUUUAGGACAGACCAGACAAUUACCCUGGGUUUGACACAGGCAUUUUAAAAGAUAGAGGUAGGUCCUUCUCAGCUCAUGGAGUAUAUCAUCUCUAUCUUUCUUUGAGAUUGGUGUAUGAAUCCUUCUGAUAACUAGUGGUUUUUAUUAAAUGCUAACUAGGGUGCUGGGUGGCUCAGUUGGUUAAGCGUCUGUCUUAGGCUGAGGUCAGGAUCCCAGGGUCCUGGGGUCGAGUCCCACAUCGGGCUCCCUGCUCCAUGGGGCGUCUGCUUCUCCCUCUGCCCCUCCUCCCACUGGUUCUCUCAAUCUCUCUGUCCCUCUCUCUCAAAUAAGUAAAUAAAAUCUUUUUUUAAAAAAAGUGCUAACUAACUGUAGAUGAUUUUGGCUACAACAAGCUUUUUUAUAAAUCUUACCUGUAGUAUACUGAAAUAAAAUUCUAGUGAAGACAAUUGCUGUAUCCUAUCAGCAGUUUUAAUGAGCUGGACUUAGAAUUUCCAUUUUAAAAACAGGAUCUGGUAGUGGAUGUAUUUUCUUAAAGAUAGACUCCCUUGAUGAUGUCACAUUACACAGAGAAAAUUCUAGAAAUGAGACUUUGCAUUUGCACAUUAAGAACUACCUGAAAAAGGAAAACUCAACUCGAAGUACUCAGGAGGCCCAUCCACUUACUGGUGAC